Molecule: long non-coding RNA, 2399 nt
Organism: Neolamprologus brichardi
Lineage: Eukaryota; Metazoa; Chordata; Actinopteri; Cichliformes; Cichlidae
Source: RefSeq, a predicted model, not a curated record
CUUCGACUUACGAAAGACCCUCGGGAACGAAUUUAUUUCCUGUGGCUUUGAAUUAAAACUGUUGAGAGGAAGCUUCCUAACAGCUCUGUGGAUCUCCCACCUUGUGAGGGGCAAGGAGGCCAUGGCACAGCCCUCCAGCACCUGGGCACCAGGAUGUCGUCUCCAGGCUCAAUUCAUUCCUGUCAGCACGCUGUGAGAUGACUGCAUUAUCAGGGGUUGAUAUCCCCCAACGAUGCAUGAGCAUUUAUGAUCCGUCUCACACACCGGAUUCCAGGGGUUUCUGUCACCGCAUGUUAUCUCCACUCAGCGCUAUCAUUGUGGGCAGAAGUGCUGGAGAUACUGUAGAGCUGAAUGGGAGAGAAAAAACACACACAACUAAACAGGGACAAAGAAAAGUAAAGAAAAGCAUUCACGUCUGUAAAAGUUAUGCAAGCGAUCACAAUCGGAGACAGAAGGUUCGGUGAAAUAAACUGAACUCAGUGGCAUUUGUAAGCCAGGAUUUCCCAGUAUUGUAACUUUUAAGAUUUACAUUUAACAAAGUACUUGAAAGUGAGAAGAUUCAUAGCACUCAUUUUGUAAAUUGUUUAUGGCACAUCAUUUAACACUCAGUGCAGCGUGUUUAUUAGUGAGAAUUCUUACAGCUGAUGUGAAUUUAAAGUGGGAACAAGAACAUGCGAUAGGUCUGACAUGUGUUUAAUUCUGCAUUAACGUCUUCCUGGUGGAAGCAAACAGGCUUGCCAUUAGACAUUCAUUAUAUUGAUUUUGCAGCAGAGUUGAGUCUCGUAGGAAAAUGAGGUUUCUCUCCCUUUUGUCUGUCAGCUAAUUAUUGAAAACAAGAUUUGCUUCUGAUUAAGGGAGCGGGUUGUUGUUGCUGCAGACACAUUGACGUGCACAAAACACCUGAGGUUAGUGGAGGACAGUGGGUGGAUAUGGUUGGGGCAAGGUCUUUCCUCCUUAAGCCUAUUAAAGAAACAGAUGCCAGAUCUUACAAGAUUUGCUUAUAACAAGGUGGAUUAAAUUGCACCAUAUGUCUGCAUUACUUUCCAGCCAUUUUAAGCAAAUAUUGUAGCUGUGUCUGCAAUUCCAAUUCAAAGCCACUGACAAUGAAGAUGUCUCUUUUUUUCUGGGUUUGUUAUGCUAAGAGUGGGAACGGGGUGAGAAUAUGAACACUAGCUUUUUACCAAAUGAUCUUCAAAUUCUGUUGGCGUUCAGAAAACAACACCAAUUCAAAAUGAAUCACUGAAGACAUGUUUUUAUGUAUUAUGUGGAUAUCUUACUUUUCUAAAAUCAGCCAACUUCCUUUAACCUGCCCAAAUAUAAAUGUCAUUCCUCUCCAUCCACCUCACUCACGAGGGAUGAACAAAUGACCUUUUCAAGCUCCUUCCUGGAAUCAGCUGUGCUGAGUGUCCCAACCAAAGGCUCCAAAAAGAUUUUUAAAAAUAAAUAACUAAUUAAGAAACCUCAAGAAAACUAUAAGCAUAUAUAGAUGUGUAAAUACUUGUGUAUACUACUGUAAAAGUACUGACAUAAUGGCGUCUUUAGCAUUUUUUCCCGCACAUCAAACUGCAAAUAAUAUUGAUUACUUUGAAGUUAAUUGUAUCAAAAGACCAGCUGUACUAAAGUCUCCAGUUUUGGUGAGUGAUAAUGUAGUAUUUUUACAUGUAAAUGCUAAACAUCUGUGUAGCUGUGAUGUGUCCAUACAGUCUACAGUACAACCAAGCUGGUUAGUGUUAGCUUAAACUUAGCUAACACUUCUAGCUAACACUUAGCUAACUCUAAAAUGCUUCCUUUUGUCCAAAUAUGGUCAUUUAUGGCUUAAAUUCUCAGAUUUGGGCUUUAAAAAGUCCUGAUGAGCUAAUGGGCAAUGUCACAGUGAACAUAUCCAUCUUUCAUAUAUAGUCUAUAGCUGGAACGUUAAACCCAUUUUACAUUGUGCCCACUUUUAUCUUAAGUGGACCGAUCCAGUGAAUUUCCUGUUUCCUGUAAAGAUAUUUAACUACACAUUUAAUCCCAUUUAAUAUAGAAAUAAGUCUUAAUUCAAGAGUAAAUCUCAGUUUUUAGAACACUAUGAAAAUGCUGCUGUAUUAAAUGCAGAACCCCCCCCGAAAAAACAAAAACAGGCCAGAUUCGGUCUUUGGCAGCCUGAUUCUGGCACUCGGGCUUUGCGUUUCACACCCCCAAAAUAUAGUGUAGAUUUUGCCUAUGCAGGUUGUUCAUGUCUACUCUGUGUAACAGCAGACUAUCCAUACAGAGGCUUCCCCAUUUUGUUUCAGCCUGAGCUGUAAAUGAUAGAUCAGUAAUUGAGGGAUUUGAUUCUACUUUGCCCUGUGGAGGUUGUCUUCCCCUUUGACCCAAAACCAUAAACGGCCUCCUGUCCCAGGAGGGAAAAAAGUAAUUGC